UCGCCAAAAACAUGGUGUAAAAGCUUAAUAUGUUCAUACAUAUUUUAAAUCAGAUAACUAAAGUAUAAAAUUACUUUUACAAUGACACGUGGGCCCCCAACUAACCAAUAAGAUGCGAGUCUGUGAACCUAUAAUUUUGAUAAUGCAAGGCUAACUGAAGUCCUUGAUGCAAUCGGCUAUCUACCGGCUAUCCCAAGCCUGAAAUGUGUGGAAUUGAAGGUGGUGAGAUUAUAAAAUCUCAGUGAGUAAACAAACACCAUCUAAAUAAUCUAAAGACGAGUAAAGGGAGACAAUUAAAAAUAAUUCAUUUCAGCAAAUUUUUCACAUCACGAAUAUUC
This 338-nucleotide long non-coding RNA is filed under the name Theobroma cacao (cacao). RNAcentral describes it as "long non-coding RNA (TCAC_LNC006372)". Lineage: Eukaryota; Viridiplantae; Streptophyta; Magnoliopsida; Malvales; Malvaceae. The record is from RNAcentral.